Molecule: ribosomal RNA, 536 nt
Filed under: uncultured Paracoccaceae bacterium
Lineage: Bacteria; Pseudomonadati; Pseudomonadota; Alphaproteobacteria; Rhodobacterales; Paracoccaceae
Description: bacterial SSU rRNA
Rfam family: Bacterial small subunit ribosomal RNA
Source: RNAcentral
UGGGGAAUCUUAGACAAUGGGGGAAACCCUGAUCUAGCCAUGCCGCGUGAUUGAUGAAGGCCUUAGGGUUGUAAAGAUCUUUCGACGGGGACGAUAAUGACGGUACCCGUAGAAGAAGCCCCGGCUAACUUCGUGCCAGCAGCCGCGGUAAUACGAAGGGGGCUAGCGUUGUUCGGAAUUACUGGGCGUAAAGCGCGUGUAGGCUGACUAGUCAGUCAGGGGUGAAAUCCCAGGGCUCAACCCUGGAACUGCCUUUGAUACUGCUAGUCUGGAGUCCGGUAGAGGUGAGUGGAAUUCCGAGUGUAGAGGUGAAAUUCGUAGAUAUUCGGAGGAACACCAGUGGCGAAGGCGGCUCACUGGACCGGUACUGACGCUGAGACGCGAAAGUGUGGGGAGCAAACAGGAUUAGAUACCCUGGUAGUCCACACCGUAAACGAUGAAUGCCAGCUGUCGGGUUGCUUGCAAUUCGGUGGCGCAGCUAACGCUUUAAGCAUUCCGCCUGGGGAGUACGGCCGCAAGGUUAAAUCAAAGGAAUU